This is a non-coding RNA of Bombyx mori (domestic silkworm), 130 nucleotides long. Lineage: Eukaryota; Metazoa; Arthropoda; Insecta; Lepidoptera; Bombycidae. The record is from RefSeq and is marked provisional.
AUGCUUGGAGAGAAAUCAGUAGUGAAAUGGGAGUCCAUGUGCCGAAGUUAAAGAAAAAAUUGUGUCUUCUACCACUUCAAACUGCAUAUCUCUGAUAAGUGUCACUCCAUACUGCAUUCUUUUUCGGUAC